RNAcentral lists this ribosomal RNA (484 nucleotides) under uncultured bacterium. Its description in RNAcentral is "partial 16S ribosomal RNA". It matches the Rfam family "Bacterial small subunit ribosomal RNA", at positions 30 to 507 of the family's 1533-position model. The record is from RNAcentral.
AUUGAACGCUGGCGGCAUGCUUUACACAUGCCAGUCGAACGGCAGCACGAGCAUCUUCCUCGCCUCGAGUUACCGACGGGUGAGUAAUUCAUCGGAAGGUACCCUGCAUUUGGGGAUAGGCCGACUAAAGCCGAAUUAAUACCGCAUCCGACCAUAUGGUGAAAGCCGUGGAUCGAAAGUCCUCGCGCUAUUUGAUCUGCCUAUGUCGGAUUAGCUAGUUGGUUUGGUAAAGGCUUACCAAGGCGACGAUCCGUAGCUGGUCUGAGAGGACGACCAGCCACACUGGGACUGAGACACGGUCCAGACUCCUACGGGAGGCAGCAGUGGGGAAUCUUGGACAAUGGGGGCAAGCCUGAUGCAGCAAUGCCGCGUGCGGGAAGAAGGUCUUCGGGUUGUAAAACGCUUUUGUUAGGGAAGAACUCAUGUGUGAUAAUCUACCGGGGGGAUGACGGUACCGGAAGAAUAAGCAACGGCUAACUACGUG